UACGAAGGGUGCUAGCGUUGUUCGGAAUUACUGGGCGUAAAGCGCACGUAGGCGGCUUUGUAAGUUAGAGGUGAAAGCCCGGGGCUCAACUCCGGAAUUGCCUUUAAGACUGCAUCGCUAGAAUUGUGGAGAGGUAAGUGGAAUUCCGAGUGUAGAGGUGAAAUUCGUAGAUAUUCGGAAGAACACCAGUGGCGAAGGCGACUUACUGGACACAUAUUGACGCUGAGGUGCGAAAGCCAGGGGAGCAAACAGG
Molecule: ribosomal RNA, 253 nt
Filed under: uncultured bacterium
Lineage: Bacteria
Description: partial 16S ribosomal RNA
Rfam family: Bacterial small subunit ribosomal RNA
Source: RNAcentral